RNAcentral lists this ribosomal RNA (461 nucleotides) under uncultured bacterium. RNAcentral's name for it is "partial 16S ribosomal RNA". It matches the Rfam family "Bacterial small subunit ribosomal RNA", at positions 338 to 795 of the family's 1533-position model. The record is from RNAcentral.
CCUACGGGGGGCAGCAGUGAGGAAUAUUGGUCAAUGGGCUUACGCCUGAACCAGCCAAGUCGCGUGAGGGAAGAAUGCCCUAUGGGUUGUAAAGAGAGGUUGUCAGGGAGCAACGCCCGCUACGUGUAGCCGGACUGAGAGUACCUGCAGAAAAAGCAUCGGCUAACUCCGUGCCAGCAGCCGCGGUAAUACGGAGGAUGCGAGCGUUAUCCGGAUUUAUUGGGUUUAAAGGGUGCGUAGGCGGAAUGCCAAGUCAGCGGUAAAAUCGCGGGGCUCAACCUCGCUCCGCCGUUGAAACUGGCGUUCUUGAGUGGGCGAGAAGUAUGCGGGAUGCGGGGUGUAGCGGUGAAAUGCAUAGAUAGCACGCAGAACUCCGAUUGCGAAGGCAGCAUACCGGCACCCAACUGACGCUGAAGCACGAAAGCGUGGGUAUCGAACAGGAUUAGAUACCCCUGGUAGUC